Long non-coding RNA from Homo sapiens (human), 473 nucleotides. RefSeq lists it as uncharacterized. The transcript has 4 exons. Lineage: Eukaryota; Metazoa; Chordata; Mammalia; Primates; Hominidae. The record is from RefSeq and is a predicted model, not a curated record.
CUUGUUCCAGCAUUUCACUGCCAAGUGCCAGAAGAAUGAGAAAUAUGCUACUUCCAGAUUGAACAUCUUUUUCAAUCCUAGUAAAAUAUGACAAAGUACAGAGAAGCCAAAAAAUAUUUGGACCAUCAAGCUCAUCAGAAAUGCUGCUUAUUGGCUGGGUGUGGUGGCUCACGCCUGUAAUCCCAGCAUUUGGGAGGCCAAGACUAACACCACAUCUACAGACACUGACCCUAGAUCACACCUCCAGGAGACAGGAGACAACAUCUUAACACUUUUCACCAUGCAUCCUCCUCUUGAAUCAGAGUGGACUAUUUGUAACUUUCGCCAGUGCAAUGUUGAAGAGGAACUCCCACCCUCGAAUGAACGGAGGAGACCUCCAUAAAUCCAGGGACUUGCACGGCAAAAGGCAUCUCAAAGACCAACUGUUGAUACCCUCUUGUUAGAGACAUACAGAGGUUAGGUGCCUGUCUCGA